GUCGCGACCUUUAACCACACACUCGAUACCACCCAGAAAUACCUUAUUCAACAAAGGCACGAGGGUCUUGCAGGAGAGGUUAAACAGGAAGCUACAACGAUGCCUCCAAAGCGAAAACUCCCACGUCGUGGGAGGGCCUUGGAGGGUGAGCUCAACCUGGAUGCUGUGUCCAACGAACGAAUCGAUGCGGUAACGGCAGAGCCGCUCGAUCCUGUCAAAUUUAUCGAAGUUCUUAGCCCGGAUAAAACACUGCGACUGUUUUACAACACAAGCACACUGAUUCGCAUUGCUGUCGACAAUGGCGGCUUUAUGCAGCCACCACACUUUCGGGAACCCAUGUCCAACGCUCUCCGAAAGCGAAUUGAAGAUAUCGAAGGCAAGACGUUUCACUUUGAGUCACGUAACACUGUCAUUCGAGGCGAUGAGGCCGGGGAUGAUGGCGAAAUUGAAGUUGUGCAUCGCCACGUCUACUUUGACCAGAUUAUGGACGAGUUCUACUUACUCAAUCCCGCAGAAGUCUAUGUAUGCCCAAUGUGUUACGAGCACUACUUGAAUACUCGAUUUCUGCCUGCUCGGAUAGAGGAAGGGCGUCACGUGAGGCACCUCCACAGCGGUCGACCCGUCGUCGACCCUCUGGAUGUUCUUUCGCACAUGCACGGCGAAGAUCCCAGCACUGGCGAUGCAGACAAUGGUGCACCGAUUGUCCUUGAUACAGUCUGGGACAAUGUACUCAUUCACAUUGUCUUCCGCAGGGCCGCACAGUGGAAAACACAUAUGGAGUCUCACCAUUGGGUGCGCGGCGUCAGCGCUGGAGACUAUCGGCUGCGCGACGUGCUUUGCACAUACUACAACGACUACAAUCAGUGGAAUGAAGAAAAGCACGAGGAGGAGGUGAGACUGUACGGUAGCGCGCGAAAGAAAGCCGCUUUAACUCUACAGCGCUAUUGGCACAUAAAUGCCAGCUACAAUCGGCUGCGGUACAACCGAGUGGUUGCCGCGGCCGAGUUGGCGGAAGGCCAUGCGGAGGCAGUCACAGAGAGCGCUUUUCCAAACGAGACGAUUGCCCACCACUUGAACCCCGAAAUCGACGAUGAAGAUGACUUCAUCGACGACGACACUGACGCAGAUGACUACGUGCCUCCGUACUCGCCUGAGCACGAGGAGUUUAGCGAUGAGGAGGAUUUCACAGACUCGUCAGAGGGAGAACCGCGUCAACAUUUCCGAAAGCGCAAUCGCGAGCGCUCGGCAGAAUCAGAGAUUGUCUCAUCCCACUCAAGCUCCUCUAGCACCACAACAUCUUCCACCGACUCAGAUUACGUUGCCGAGGUUGAGAAGCAACGAGCGCUAUUCAAGCGAGGGCUUCUUGCUGAAAGGGACUGCUAUUUUUCGCGCCUCUCUGCAGAAGACAGGCGCUUUUUCGAGAAAAGCCAACGCUCGAAUGUGGCGCCAAGCCAGCUCUAUGAUCCUUGCAUGCACCUGAAAAACACACCUUCAUCCACAUUGGACGACAAUAUUGACUGGGAGAACAUCGGCGAGGCACUCCCCAUCACGAACUGCGUGAAGCUUAAAAAGGAAAUGUCCGCUAGUCGUCCCCACGUAGCUGCAGAUCUAGAGCCGAUCAAAUCAAAAAUACUUCUCGACGAGGAUGAUGCGUCUCCGCUUUCCGUUGCUCAACCACAACUCACACCCAGCAGGCCGUCGCCGCGUCUGCUGUUGGAUGACGGUGAGUAGCGGCUGACGGCGGUGAUCACUGCACAAAAGCGCUGGUGCUGCGAAGCUCCCACUCCUUUUUCUUUAUUCAUCUGCGUAGCAUGAAUUCAUCCCAGAGUGAGUUUACUGAUGGGCUUUGCCUUGACGCAGACUAGGGUGGUAGCACCGCUGGCUUCAGCUUCUUUGCAUCUGCUGGAACUGCCACCAGUUGCGCCCACUCUUGUCGACGCACUUUGCGCUCCCCUACGUCUCAAAAUGAUGAUGCUAUUGCUUGCUUUUUUUCUUUGCGAUUAACGUGAAGGACUCUGGCGGAAGGGUGUACUUGUCAUCGUUCCAGCUGAUAUUCGAAAGCGAAAAAGGAGCGCAUAAGAGACAGUACGCUUUUCUUUCUUCCUGUUCUUGUCACAGAAGCACAGCUACGCCUUCGACAAGGUUCUUUACUUGAUCCAAAGCCGUGGAGACAAUCUCCGUUGGGCUAGGUCCUCAUCCCAAGACGACGACAAUCUCUGCACCUUCCUCGGCUGCCAUAUUCGACACCUCUCUCCGUUUCGCGAUACCUCAUGACGAACUACUUUUUCAUGUGCACAACGCCAUCUUUCAUUCAUCUCCUUCGCUGCUUUUGUUGUUUCCUUCCUCUUCGUAACGAAAACGUAUCGAAAG
This 2370-nucleotide unclassified non-coding RNA is filed under the name Leishmania donovani. Its description in RNAcentral is "gene:LdHU3.15.1980(CDS-product:hypothetical_prote in_conserved)". Lineage: Eukaryota; Euglenozoa; Kinetoplastea; Trypanosomatida; Trypanosomatidae. The record is from RNAcentral.